Molecule: ribosomal RNA, 253 nt
Filed under: uncultured bacterium
Lineage: Bacteria
Description: partial 16S ribosomal RNA
Rfam family: Bacterial small subunit ribosomal RNA
Source: RNAcentral
UACAGAGGGGGCAAGCGUUGUUCGGAAUUACUGGGCGUAAAGGGCGCGUAGGCGGCCUGUUAAGUCGAACGUGAAAUCCCCGGGCUCAACCCGGGAACUGCGCCCGAAACUGGCAGGCUCGAAUCCGGGAGAGGGAUGCGGAAUUCCAGGUGUAGCGGUGAAAUGCGUAGAUAUCUGGAGGAACAUCGGUGGCGAAGGCGGCAUCCUGGACCGGUAUUGACGCUGAGGCGCGAAAGCCAGGGGAGCAAACGGG